This 396-nucleotide ribosomal RNA is filed under the name Tetracystis sp. MACC 557. Its description in RNAcentral is "SSU rRNA". It matches the Rfam family "Eukaryotic small subunit ribosomal RNA", at positions 619 to 1003 of the family's 1831-position model. Lineage: Eukaryota; Viridiplantae; Chlorophyta; Chlorophyceae; Chlamydomonadales; Tetracystaceae. The record is from RNAcentral.
GCACAAGGUUUGGUUUCAGUUUAAAAAGCUCGUAGUUGGAUUUCGGGUGGGUCCUUGCGGUCCGGUUCGCUGUGUACUGCUGGGACCUUCCUUUCUGCCGGGGACGGGCUCUUGGGCUUCACUGUCUGGGACCCGGAGUCGGCGAGGUUACUUUGAGUAAAUUAGAGUGUUCAAAGCAAGCCUACGCUCUGAAUACAUUAGCAUGGAAUAACACGAUAGGACUCUGGCCUAUCUUGUUGGUCUGUAGGACCGGAGUAAUGAUUAAGAGGGACAGUUGGGGGCAUUCGUAUUUCAUUGUCAGAGGUGAAAUUCUUGGAUUUAUGAAAGACGAACUUCUGCGAAAGCAUUUGCCAAGGAUGUUUUCAUUAAUCAAGAACGAAAGUUGGGGGCUCGAAG